RNAcentral lists this microRNA precursor (150 nucleotides) under Drosophila guanche. Lineage: Eukaryota; Metazoa; Arthropoda; Insecta; Diptera; Drosophilidae. The record is from RNAcentral.
UGAUGAAAGAGAGGUAGAGAGAGAGAGAGAGAGAAAGAGAGGAGUGCCAAUGAUAGGCAGUCUGCAUUUUAGUGCCCAACUUGAAUGAGUCUCUCUCUCUGUCUUUCUGUCUUUCUCUCUCUAUCUCUCUCUCUCACCGCUUUGCUCUCU